UGUGGUGCUAGCUGGAGGAGGAGAUUGUGGGGCAUGCACUACUCCCAAGAGCUUUGGUGGAUGGUCGAGUCUUCUAAGUAGGUGCCCAACCCAAGACAUCGAUGGUGGUAUUUCUAGAUCUCUUGUGACAGAGCAUGCAGUUUGAGAUAAUCAGAUAGGUCAGUAUUCAUACUAUUUUUAUUGUCCAUUAUAUCUGAUUAUUCAAGAAUAACUUUAUGUUUAACUCAAGGAGUCCUGUUAGAUUCAUCAUGGAGAGAGCUCUAAGUCAAGCUUUUG
This 276-nucleotide long non-coding RNA is filed under the name Elaeis guineensis (African oil palm). Its description in RNAcentral is "long non-coding RNA (EGUI_LNC034674)". The record is from RNAcentral. Lineage: Eukaryota; Viridiplantae; Streptophyta; Magnoliopsida; Arecales; Arecaceae.